This 1444-nucleotide unclassified non-coding RNA is filed under the name Hevea brasiliensis (rubber tree). Lineage: Eukaryota; Viridiplantae; Streptophyta; Magnoliopsida; Malpighiales; Euphorbiaceae. The record is from RNAcentral.
AUAGACUGAGACAUAUUCUGUGCAUCUUUUAUCUCAUCAUCUGUCUCAUUCUUUUGUCUAAACACAAAUGCACCUCAAGGAAAAGCAAUAGCAGGGUGUAUUCCAUGUUCUUCAUGGUGUUGGCUGUUCUCUACAAAUGUAAAGUUAAGUCUAAUUGAAUCUUGUGUUCUUUGCCCUUUUUUGGCUUCCCGGAGAUAUUUGUUCUUGUUCCACAUUAGAUUUUAUCUUAUUUCUCUUUUUUCUUCUAUAAUUGGCUUGGGAUGAGAUUGUUGUUUGGUGAUUGGGUAAAUUAGUGUAACCAUUUGCCAGAACUGACAUUUCAAUGAAACUGACAUGCUCUGUUUCUUUGCUUCAUUGUUUGGUGUCGAUGAGAGGAAAUAUGAAUCCCAUGAUGUCCGGUAAGCUCCAAAAAUCACGUGCACCAACCCAUGAACAGCCUUACUUCUAGCUUUUCUGGGCAGGGUAUACAAAUCUUUUUAUAAAUUUUCUGCUUAUCCUUGUAGAGGACUGACUCGGAAAAAAUAGGAUUAGCUUUUAUUUUCUAACUCCUCUUCUUGCAGGGAUUGAUCUUAAUUGCCCAGUGAACUUUGUAAUUUUUUCCUGGAUACACAUGACCUUUAUGGAAUAGGGAUUCUGAAGGAAUAGAGUUGUCACCUUUAGAGGUGCAAUUUUAAUGAAAUUGAUUGGACUUGUUUUCUCUUUGGGGUAAGAGGAUCCUAGCAACGUUGAAAAUGUUGGGUUUCAUCAAUGUAUGAAAAUAUUUGUUCUCAAGUCUGGUUUGUCCAUUUUGCUUACAUCAAGUUCACAUUAUUAUAAAGGAAAUUCAAUCAAUGUAAUUAAAUAAAUGCACAUAAAUUUUCAGAACUCCCCCAAAAAAUUUCCAGGCCUUGUUUCUUUAGCCUUUUAAUCACAUCCUCCUUAUGUUUUUUAAUUCAAAAACUUUGUGGUUGAAUUUACCUUUUCUAUUAGUUGUCCAGACUCUGGAGUUCUUUAAGCAGCCAAUUGAUCCCAGACAUUAGUGUGCCCAUUUCUUUUGGACCAGCAAGUACCAGAAUAUGAAGGUUGCCUCCAAAGAGAUUGGCAAUGACAUUCAAACUCUGGUAAUUGUUUGAUGAGGCAUCUGAAUCUAGGAUGACUUAACUUCACACUUCAUGCUUAUGGUCACGUUCAAGUUGAAAUCAGCUAGAAAAGGUUGAGCUUACCAGUGUUGGUUGUUACUGUAAGUGUUAGCUUACAGGAAUUUGAUAUAUUAAUUCUUCAAAGACGUCUCAUGGAGUACCAUCCUAUAACAGCAAAAGUGCACUAAUCAGAUUCUGAAAUAAGAUUGUGGGAUACAUUUAAUGGAGGGAUAAUUGAAGAGUGUCAGGGUAUAUUCAUGCCAUGAGUAUUGAGUUGCGCCUUCCUAGUUCCAUUAGGUUUUCUUAUUUCCAAAAAAAAAAAAUGU